RNAcentral lists this long non-coding RNA (1175 nucleotides) under Canis lupus dingo (dingo). RNAcentral's name for it is "lncRNA (ENSCAFG00020022569.1)". The record is from RNAcentral. Lineage: Eukaryota; Metazoa; Chordata; Mammalia; Carnivora; Canidae.
AAAUCCGUCCAAUCUUCGUUUCACAACACCCAGCAGAUACCUGACUGAGUGCCACCCGAUGGAAGCCCUCCACUACACAGUGGUUCAGUGUGACAAGCAGAACGGCAGGGAGCAAAGCAGGAGGCCAGCAAGUCCAUACUCAGGUGGAUUUGGGGCUGGACCUUGAAGGACUCGGAGGGUUUUGUCAGGUAGAGAAGACUGGGGGGAACCUCCAGUAAUGGGGGCAUGUGAAUAAAUAAAUGGGGGCAUGACAUUUCAGCAAGAGAGAUGUUACACAUCACAGUGGAGGAGCCAGAGGGGAAGGUCCAAUGUAAGGGAGACCUUAGGAAAGAAAAACUGAAGGAAGUGGUGGUGCGCUGGAUUGGCUGGUGCUGGAGGAUGCAGGGAGGUACGUGUAGGAAGGGGAAGAGCUGCUUAUCAAGCCUUUCAAAAUAACAUUUAGAAAGCAGAGAAUAUCAGCUAGAUAAAUUAUCUAGCUAAGUCUCUAACGUGGCUCUUCCCCCACAAAACAAACCAGAUAUUCAUGGUUUUCCCCCAAAACAAAUCAGAUUAUUUACUUGUGAUGCUACUAAUGUUUAAAGAAGGCCUUAGAAAUCCCCUUCGGGAAUUAAUUGCCUUCAGAAUGUGUUACUGACCUACAGCAGAGCAUCAACUAGUCUUGCUACCUUACGGGUUUCUCAGUCGCUGUGUGCCUCUAUCUAUGAUGGAAACGUUCCAUAUGCAUAUAAGAUACAGAUCGUUAGAACUUAACCAGUUGCACAUUUCUUUUAUAAAUUGGAGAAUGUGGCAACUGGCUUUUGCCUAUUUCCAAAAACCGAAUGCAAUGCACAAAGGAUUUCACUUGUGGGCUCAGAAGACCAGAAGAAUGUGCUGCAGGCUCUGAUGGCAAUCCCCGAGGGGAGACUGGCAAUACGUUGGAGCAGCCACCGCCCUGGAGUCCGUGCUGGCUUCCACAGUGUCUGCUGACCCAUGGACUGUGUUCUGUGCGAUUUUUGUUGCUGAGUUACGGCUCACGGUCCACAGACUUAAGCAAUUCACCCAAAGCAGAAGCAAAACAGGCUUUUGUGGGGAAAGUGGAAAGUGGCUGCAGGGGAUACCUGUCAUGGUGCUCUGGGGUCCAUCCUCCACAGAACCUCAGGAAGAUGACAGGCCACCCAGAGGCACCAACUCCAUGA